AGUUUCCAGGGGAGCCCAGGUCUUGUAGUGGGGGCGGUGGGGAAUGGAGGAGUCCCAGGGAAGGGGACGUCUCCUCUACCUGGGCCAGGCUGGGAAGGCUUCAUGGUGGAGACGGCGGGCCCAGGCGCGUGGGCCCGGAGUGGGGCGGGAAAUGCGCUGGGGAGGCGAGGCUGUGCCGGGAUGCUGGGCCCAGCCUCUCCUGGGCCCCUAGAGCCAGCCCGGGAAAGAGGAGUUUAAGACCAAGCAUGUUCUGAGAACACCACACAGCAAGUACUGGGCUACAUGUUGUACAGACAUUCUCAUCAUGUCACUGGAACUUCUCAGCUAACCUGAGGUCAGAACCUUCUGAAAACCUGGGAAACUUUCUGUAGUCAGAAUCCACUACUCUACCACUAAUGUCUCUUCCAUCCGGCUCUGCAGCACCUGAGCAAAAGACCUCUGCAGCUGAGUCCAAAGAGCAUUCCCAUGUGAACCGAGCAACCAAGUAUCAUCG
Homo sapiens (human) is the source of this 493-nucleotide long non-coding RNA. RefSeq annotates it as TMEM269 divergent transcript. The record is from RefSeq and is marked validated. Lineage: Eukaryota; Metazoa; Chordata; Mammalia; Primates; Hominidae.